This 5598-nucleotide long non-coding RNA is filed under the name Homo sapiens (human). Its description in RNAcentral is "HSALNT0031111". Lineage: Eukaryota; Metazoa; Chordata; Mammalia; Primates; Hominidae. The record is from RNAcentral.
CUGAGAGGAGGAGCAUGAUGGACUAGCAACUUGACGGUAGCUGCUAAAUCAGCCGAUUUUAGUUCCAGAAAUGACUCCUGCUGGGUGUAAUCACACUGGCUUUCAUUACCAUCACUGCCACAGGAUGCAUGAGCAUUUAUGAGCAUUUUACUCUGGAAUGAAUCCUGUUAUGCUUCAAGACCUGGGUGAAGUUGUCUUGCUCCAUGAAGCCUUGCUUGAUCGUGGAAACCAGUGACGAUCUUUCUCUGACCGGCCAGAGAACCGCCAGCUCAUCUACACAGACACACGCCACCACACACAUACACCCGUGCAUUCCUUCACAAGAGAGUAGAGCUUACCCCUCAACUAGUUUGACCAAAGGUCCUGCCAUAAAAGUCUUGUCACAUCUUGCAGUGAUUUGCACACCAUAGGUGCUCACUAAAGAUGUGUUAAUUGGCUGAUUAGAAUAAAUGGCAUUGCUGUCCAGCCCACUAUCAAGCAAAGAUGGUCUUCAGAAGUAAAGAGAUGGACUUCCCUGGAGUCUGAUUCUAUUAAUAACUGAUUCUGCCAACACUAAGCCUGUAACCUCUACCACGGAUCUCAUUUCUCUAAAAUCCAUUGCAAAUUACUGAGGCUAUCUCUGCUUGUAAUCUGUUACUGGCGAGCAUAUUGAUUCCCAGGUGGCUGCCUGACCCACAAACCAACUCAUUGUGUUGAGCAUCUCAAUCUCUUCUCGAAAAGCACUCACCAAACCUGCUCACACACUCUCCAACUCCUUCGGAGUAGUAGUGGUGCCUCAGGUAGACAGUAUGGUCUAGCAGGAAAGAGACCCAUCCUCAACGGCUCUGUCAGCUCGUUUAGAUUUAAUCUGACAUAGCUGUCUCUUUAGAACAAAAUCUACCAAUGGCCUAAUUUUUACUUCGUUUUUUUUUUUUUUUUUUUUUUGGUUUAGUGUUUCUGUUCUUCAGAGUUGAGUUCCUUGAAAUGACACUUUUGCUCCUACGUUGUUAACACUCCUUUUCUCACUUCUCCCCGUGCUCACACAGAUGAUUCAAACGCAUUUGAAAAACGUCUCCCGUUGCUUUGUAAGGAUGUUUCCAUGCUGCAUUUUCCCUAGGGCAGCAAGGGAGAUUGGCUAAGGGAGAUUCUCUAGUUCACCCUUUGUUUCCUUUGCAGCAAAGCCCUCCAGAAUUUGGCUUCCCAGGCCUGGCAGGAAAUGCCAAAGGGUGGGGGAUGGGUAGAAUUGUGUAGAGAUGAAAUUUUUAAAGAGGAAAAAUCAUGAAAUUAUUCAAGACAGGUUUUGUGGGAUCCUGUUGGAGAGAAUGGUUUCAACAAUGGGGGUCAUAAAUACAAAUGCACAGACUCUAAAAAUCUGGGAAUUUCAUUUCCUGUAACUUCCAGAAAAAAAAAACAAAACUACCUCUCAGUGGUUCUCCUAUCCCUUGUAGUCAAUGCCUGAAUGGGAACCUGGGAACUGGGAGAGGCAAUUCCAAAAGUCACUUCCCCCACAAACCCUGACCAAGCCCCUAAGUUUUAGAGCCUAGCAGUCCAAUAAGGAGGGCUCACAGCAUUACCUCCCUCCUCUACCGAUAGGCAUCUGAUCUUGUAGAUGCAGGAAUCUGUCUCCUUAUUUUCCAAAUACCCUCCCUUUCUCCUCUUCCUUCUUUGCUCUGGUUUAGCCAUUAUCAUUUCCUUGGAAGAAGUAGGAGAUAGCAUUGGUUGGGAGUUCAAGCAUUGGAAAAAUAAUACAAAUGAGAUUUGGAAAUAAUUUCUAGGUUUCAGCAGCCAUGUCUUUACCCCUACCCUCUUGCAAAUGCCACCCAUGCUUCCAGGUCCAGGGUAGGUUCUACCUCCAUCAGGAAACCUUCCUGACUGCCUCCUUGCAUGUCUAUCUCUCUACUAGGCAGUAAUUGGCAUGAGUUCAGAGUUGGUAUCUUUUAGCUUUGUAGCCCUAGAAUCUAGCACAGUGUCUAGCACAUAGAUGCUUAACAAUAAAGACUUGUAAUUGAAACAAUUAUAGGCCAUAAUUUUUUUAUAGCAAGAAACAACUGUGGAUGUAUAAAAAAUUUUUUUUCUCAUAUGCAAGAAAAUAUUAAACACUACUGACAAUGUUACCCACUUAAAAGUCUUCUAGAAUUUUUAAAUAUAAAAAUUUUGGUCUUUCAUUCACAUCAACAGAUACAGUUUUUUGUGACUAUGCCAAUUUUGAUAAGCUGAUAAGCACCCUACCUUUAUAAAAUAAGAAUUAUGUCCAGGGAUUUUUAGUUGUAAGAGGGAGGACCUGGGACGAAUGUGGCUACUUGAUCUUGACUGGAAUUAGAAGUUCUUUAUUCCUCUUUCUGUACUUUAUAUUUUGACAGUAAAUUAAAUCAAGUUUGGUAGAAUUCCCUACAUGGUUCAGGUUACUCUUGCAUCCCAAAGACACACUGGUUUGAAUUUGACUGAAAUUAAAACCACUGGCUUAAUUUGUUGUUCUGUCUGCUUUUUCUCACUAGCCCUGGAAAGCUGGAGCCAUUUUAUUUGCUUUUUGCCUUUCUAGAUCCCAUGGAGCGGAUGGAGCACAUGAGCCAAGGGUAGGCGGGCUCAGUAAAGAAAAGCCCAAAUCUCUCUUCAGCUGUAAGUUGGCCCUUCACUGGGCUGCACUGACCAGACCUGAACCUGACUAUGUCAUCAUGACUGAUGCCAAUGGGUUCAUAUGACCAUUGCCAUUGGUCACCGUAUUAGAUAUGGUGACAUCACUUUACACACUUCUGAGUCUUUCCAGGCAACUUGUAUGUAGUGUGCAGUCUGAAGCAAUGUCUAAUCUCUCAGAAGAAGUUCUCAAAGGAAUGUUUCCAAAAGGACCAUUUUUUUCCGAUAUAUUGAAAAAUAAAGGCUCACCUAAAAAUAAUUAAACUCGACUUAAUAUUAUUGCUGUUCUGUAUGUCAUAAUUAAACAAGCAUGAAAGAAAUCUUAAUAGGAUUGCAAUCGGGUCUUUGUGUUCCUGAAUGUUGUAUCAGAGUCUUAGUGGAAACCAGGUUUAAGGUGGCUCAGAGGAACUGUCCUUUGUUUUCAGGAAAAGUGAAACUCAAUCAAGACUGAAUUCUGUGGCUACCAAACCCAGCUGCUAUUCCCAAAUCCUGUCCAAAUCCUCUCUACCUUUCAAAGCCUGGCUUGAUCGCACUUCUUCCACUAGAUCGUAGGGAAGACCCCCUCCCCUGAGUCUUCUUGGUUUGAAUACUCCCAUCUAGAACAUAACUAUUCAAUGCUGUUUGCUACUCCCUCUUAGCUUGUGGAAUUUAGAAUAACCUCCCAAUCUAUUAUCAGUGAAUCCUUCCACGUGAGAACUGUCUUCCUUUGGUUAAUAACCCCAGCAUCUACCUCAGAGUCAGGUGAAUAAUAGCUACUCUUUAAAACUAUGAUAAACUGUUGGUUUGUCAUAGGGAAAGUCACAUUUUUAAAAAGUUAAGUUGAAGGUUUAUAAGCUGAUUCUUCAUCAGGUUCCUUUCAUAAGUAAGUUAAGAUCCUUCUAUGAGGUUAAAAUAUGAUUCAGUUUAGAAAAAUUCAGUGAAUAUGCAUCUGUUACAUAAAGCUAAGUAUUCUAUGAAACUGAGGUGGCAUGAGAGAGUUGGUGCAAAGCUGCUCCUGUGACUGUGGCUGCCUGACAGUGGCCUGAGAAAAGAUAGUAAAUAUCUGAACUACAGAGGAAGCUCCUUCUCUGCCCAUCCUCACCCUACAGCCAUCCAUGACAACAUCCAUGUUAGCUUGAUCACUGUUCUGCCAUAAAAGAAAUCCCUGGUGUUAUUCAACACCAUUUUGUGCUCCAAAAGCUGCCAUAUGAUGAGGAAUCCUUAGCCUUGUUAUUCUACAACGCACAAAGGAGAACACUGCUGACAUUGAAGACAUCCAUUCCCACUCCCUCACUCAUUCACCAAGCUGACCUUCAACGUGGCUUCCCAUGAUCCACCACGUACAGGGGCUCCAUAGAGCCCUCACAACUAAACUGGACCCCUCCUAGGAUGUUGGGCUUCUUGAUAAUGGUGUAAAGAAAACUUGCCAGAGUGGCUCCCUGCCUGGAAAGCCACCUCAGAUAGUGAGAGGGAGGGCUACCUGCUGGGGACAGGGGGAAGUGGGAGGGUUCCUCCAACAGAAGGGACCCUGUGCUGGAUCAGGCACAAGAAACUAGCAAUGUGAAUCAGAGCAAGGCCCCACUACCUUGGGAGUCCCUGAGACUAGAUGAGAUGCCAGGUCUGACUCUGCCAAGAUGGAGUGCCUAUGAGCAAAAUAGUUUUACUUCUCUGAAACCCAAUUUUCUCACUGGUACCAAAAGGAAAGAAAAGAAAAAAAAAAAGGAAAAGAAAAGAAAGGAAAAGAGAGAGAGAUAAAGAAAGAUAAGGUGACUUUGAAAAAAUCUUCCAAGUCUUUGAUUCUGUCCGUGGGUACCUGUCAAGUGUGAGGCCCUGUGAUAGGCACCAUGGAAAAUACAAAAUAUGAUACAUUUCUCAUGAAUCUAAAAUUAUGCUCUAGUGGAAAAAAGAAGAAAGUUAACUCCAUCACUGAGUCUCUAUUAUUCAGGAUUCUGUACACACACAAACCCAUAAAUAUUAGGCAUUACACAACACACAUGAAAAAUGAGAAGAGUUAGUAAUUCUUAUACUUGUGCAGAAAAAGGGAUAGAUUCCUAUUAAAUAGUGGUCUCUGAGGAAAGUUUCGUAGACAAAGAAAUAUGUGUCCAUCUUGAAAGAUAAGCAGAAUGAUUUCCAGAUUUUCAGACGAUAUUUCUUAUUCUCCUGAGAGAUCAGAAGGAUAGGAAAAAUUCCACUGGAUCAGGGUUCCUCAGUAUGGAAUGGGCAUUGUGUGUGUGUGGGUGCAUGUGUAUGUGUGUGUAAGAGAGAGAUGGGGGACCCUGGGAUCAAAUAAGUUCGGAAAAGUAGAUUAAACAAAGGUAAUUUUGUUUUCAUUGCAGGUCUCCUCAAGGAUGCUAAUAAACAUACGUGUGUUGAGACUAAGAGAGGUUACGUUUGCAGUGACUCCAACUAUGGGUCACAGAGUCCUUUCUUCUUACAGCUGCUCAAGUGAUUGGGGUUCUGAGAAAUCCUCUCUGGGAAACGGUGUACCAAAGAUAAUGUAAACUCCAUGAGGUCAGGGACUAGUCUAGUUCACCACUGUAUCUCCAGCACCUGGCAUGGCAUCAGAUACACGGGAAGGAUAUAAUGAAAUAUAAUAAAAGAAAAGUUUGCCAAAUGACUCAAUGAAUAACUAUUGAAUUUUAAGUGGAAAAACUGGCAUUCAAAAUGACAUGGAGAUGAGAAUACACCCAGAAGCAAGGUAUCACCUCUCCAUGAUGUCACCCUCAGGGUCUGGGUUCCACAUAAGCCACAGCUAGGAGUUUCAGGUGAUGUCUGUCUUUGCCUUCUCAAGAAGCAAAAUACUACAAACAUCCAUAAUGAUCCUAAAAGACUUUAACUCCUCCCAACCCCUCAAAAAGGAUAACAAAAUUAGAGCUUCAUGAAGAACAUUGCUGUUUCUUUACUAAAAACAGGUAACAAAUUAGUUAAUAAUACUCGAGUCAGACUCUACCAUGGAGUUAUGGAUUAUCUUUGUUUCUUUACUGCCACCUUCUGGUUCCCAGACACCUA